RNAcentral lists this ribosomal RNA (481 nucleotides) under Veillonella parvula. Its description in RNAcentral is "bacterial SSU rRNA". It matches the Rfam family "Bacterial small subunit ribosomal RNA", at positions 28 to 478 of the family's 1533-position model. Lineage: Bacteria; Bacillati; Bacillota; Negativicutes; Veillonellales; Veillonellaceae. The record is from RNAcentral.
GACGAACGCUGGCGGCGUGCUUAACACAUGCAAGUCGAACGAAGAGCGAUGGAAGCUUGCUUCUAUCAAUCUUAGUGGCGAACGGGUGAGUAACGCGUAAUCAACCUGCCCUUCAGAGGGGGACAACAGUUGGAAACGACUGCUAAUACCGCAUACGAUCUAAUCUCGGCAUCGAGGAUAGAUGAAAGGUGGCCUCUACAUGUAAGCUAUCACUGAAGGAGGGGAUUGCGUCUGAUUAGCUAGUUGGAGGGGUAACGGCCCACCAAGGCGAUGAUCAGUAGCCGGUCUGAGAGGAUGAACGGCCACAUUGGGACUGAGACACGGCCCAGACUCCUACGGGAGGCAGCAGUGGGGAAUCUUCCGCAAUGGACGAAAGUCUGACGGAGCAACGCCGCGUGAGUGAUGACGGCCUUCGGGUUGUAAAGCUCUGUUAAUCGGGACGAAAGGCCUUCUUGCGAAUAGUGAGAAGGAUUGACGGUAC